Molecule: ribosomal RNA, 258 nt
Filed under: uncultured bacterium
Lineage: Bacteria
Description: partial 16S ribosomal RNA
Rfam family: Bacterial small subunit ribosomal RNA
Source: RNAcentral
GACGGAGGGUGCAAGCGUUGUUCGGAAUCACUGGGCGUAAAGCGCGUGUAGGCGGUCUGAUAAGUCGAGUGUGAAAGCCCGAGGCUCAACCUCGGAAGUGCAUUCGAAACUGUCAGGCUUGAGUACGGGAGAGGGAAGUGGAAUUCCUGGUGUAGAGGUGAAAUUCGUAGAUAUCAGGAGGAACACCGGUGGCGAAGGCGGCUUCCUGGACCGAUACUGACGCUGAGACGCGAAAGCGUGGGGAGCAAACAGGAUUAG